This 497-nucleotide ribosomal RNA is filed under the name uncultured bacterium. RNAcentral's name for it is "partial 16S ribosomal RNA". It matches the Rfam family "Bacterial small subunit ribosomal RNA", at positions 28 to 507 of the family's 1533-position model. The record is from RNAcentral.
GACGAACGCUGGCGGCGUGCCUAAUACAUGCAAGUUGAGCGAUGAAGAUUGGUGCUUGCACCAAUUUGAAGAGCAGCGAACGGGUGAGUAACGCGUGGGGAAUCUGCCUUUGAGCGGGGGACAACAUUUGGAAACGAAUGCUAAUACCGCAUAACAACUUUAAACAUAAGUUUUAAGUUUGAAAGAUGCAAUUGCAUCACUCAAAGAUGAUCCCGCGUUGUAUUAGCUAGUUGGUGAGGUAAAGGCUCGCCAAGGCGAUGAUACAUAGCCGACCUGAGAGGGUGAUCGGCCACAUUGGGACUGAGACACGGCCCAAACUCCUACGGGAGGCAGCAGUAGGGAAUCUUCGGCAAUGGACGAAAGUCUGACCGAGCAACGCCGCGUGAGUGAAGAAGGUUUUCGGAUCGUAAAACUCUGUUGGUAGAGAAGAACGAUGGUGAGAGUGGAAAGCUCAUCAAGUGACGGUAACUACCCAGAAAGGGACGGCUAACUACGUG